RNAcentral lists this transfer-messenger RNA (354 nucleotides) under Lachnospirales. RNAcentral describes it as "JAAZLH01 sp012799415 Standard tmRNA". It matches the Rfam family "transfer-messenger RNA". Rfam says of the family: Bacterial tmRNA, also known as 10Sa RNA or SsrA, is named for its dual tRNA and mRNA-like properties. Lineage: Bacteria; Bacillati; Bacillota; Clostridia. The record is from RNAcentral. RNAcentral also lists the same sequence under 1 other name.
GGGGGCGUACUGGUUUCGACGGGGAUCAGAGAAGCUAAAGAAGCCAUUCGCAGAAUUCUGGGGCUGCGUCACCAACCUAGAAACUUAAACUUAAACGCUGAAGACAAUUUAGCAUUUGCUGCUUAAUUAAAGCAGCUGUCUACUUUCAGACUCCCGCGACUGAAAGCUAGACACCGAUCAGCGGGGCACUUUGCCUCUUAAGCUUUGCGGAGGUAAAAGAACUCAUGAAGCUACCGAAUUCCAAAGCUUGUCGUUAAGCGCUGGGAUAAGGGAAUAAAAAAGUAGCGACUGUAAUGGGAGAGUCUUUAGUGGACGGAUUUUCGGACAGGGGUUCGAUUCCCCUCGCCUCCAUCU